RNAcentral lists this ribosomal RNA (490 nucleotides) under uncultured bacterium. Its description in RNAcentral is "partial 16S ribosomal RNA". It matches the Rfam family "Bacterial small subunit ribosomal RNA", at positions 30 to 507 of the family's 1533-position model. The record is from RNAcentral.
AUUGAACGCUGGCGGCAGGCCUAACACAUGCAAGUCGAACGGUAACAGGAAUCAGCUUGCUGAUUUGCUGACGAGUGGCGGACGGGUGAGUAAUGUCUGGGAAACUGCCUGAUGGAGGGGGAUAACUACUGGAAACGGUAGCUAAUACCGCAUAACGUCGCAAGACCAAAGAGGGGGACCUUCGGGCCUCUUGCCAUCGGAUGUGCCCAGAUGGGAUUAGCUAGUAGGUGGGGUAAAGGCUCACCUAGGCGACGAUCCCUAGCUGGUCUGAGAGGAUGACCAGCCACACUGGAACUGAGACACGGUCCAGACUCCUACGGGAGGCAGCAGUGGGGAAUAUUGGACAAUGGGCGCAAGCCUGAUGCAGCCAUGCCGCGUGUAUGAGGAAGGCCUUCGGGUUGUAAAGUACUUUCAGCGGGGAGGAAGGGAGUAAAGUUAAUACCUUUGCGCAUUGACGUUACCCGCAGAAGAAGCACCGGCUAACUCCGUG